This 503-nucleotide ribosomal RNA is filed under the name uncultured bacterium. RNAcentral's name for it is "bacterial SSU rRNA". It matches the Rfam family "Bacterial small subunit ribosomal RNA", at positions 31 to 518 of the family's 1533-position model. The record is from RNAcentral.
GAACGCUGGCGGCGUGCCUAACACAUGCAAGUCGAACGGAGAUUAGACGCUGACGAGACUUCGGUCAAAUCUUGUUAAUCUUAGUGGCGGACGGGUGAGUAACGCGUGGGCAACCUGCCUCAUACUGGGGGAUAGCAGUUGGAAACGACUGAUAAUACCGCAUAAGCGCACGAGAUCGCAUGAUCUAGUGUGAAAAAACUCCGGUGGUAUGAGAUGGGCCCGCGUCAGAUUAGCUAGUUGGUAAGGUAACGGCUUACCAAGGCGACGAUCUGUAGCCGGACUGAGAGGUCGGACGGCCACAUUGGGACUGAGACACGGCCCAAACUCCUACGGGAGGCAGCAGUGGGGGAUAUUGCACAAUGGAGGAAACUCUGAUGCAGCGACGCCGCGUGAGUGAAGAAGUAUUUCGGUAUGUAAAGCUCUAUCAGCAGGGAAGAAAGGCUCGUAAGAGAGAUGACGGUACCUGACUAAGAAGCCCCGGCUAACUACGUGCCAGCAGCUGC